UAGUAAAGUCAGCUAAUUAAGCU
Molecule: transfer RNA, 23 nt
Filed under: Pygomeles braconnieri
Lineage: Eukaryota; Metazoa; Chordata; Lepidosauria; Squamata; Scincidae
Also listed under: 20 other names
Description: partial tRNA-Met
Source: RNAcentral